RNAcentral lists this ribosomal RNA (254 nucleotides) under uncultured bacterium. Its description in RNAcentral is "partial 16S ribosomal RNA". It matches the Rfam family "Archaeal small subunit ribosomal RNA", at positions 474 to 727 of the family's 1478-position model. The record is from RNAcentral.
UACCGGCGGCUCGAGUGGUGGCCACUAUUACUGGGCUUAAAGCGUUCGUAGCUGGUCUGUUAAGUCUCUGGGGAAAUCUACUGGCUUAACCAAUAGGCGUUUCAGGGAUACUGGCAGACUAGGGACCGGGAGAGGUGAGAGGUACUCCAGGGGUAGGAGUGAAAUCCUGUAAUCCUUGGGGGACCACCUGUGGCGAAGGCGUCUCACCAGAACGGCUCCGACAGUGAGGGACGAAAGCUGGGGGAGCAAACCGG